GCUUGAGUGAUGAUUUUGUUUAAGUCGGAAUCCCCUUCACUCCCUCAUGAGUGAUAAAACAGAUCUGACAAGC
Non-coding RNA from Pelobates cultripes (western spadefoot toad), 73 nucleotides. Lineage: Eukaryota; Metazoa; Chordata; Amphibia; Anura; Pelobatidae. The record is from the annotation of a GenBank genome assembly.